GAAGGGAGCUAGCGUUGUUCGGAAUUACUGGGCGUAAAGGGCGCGUAGGCGGGUUUCCAAGUCGGGGGUGAAAUUCCAGGGCUCAACCCUGGGACGGCCUUCGAUACUGGGAGCCUGGAGAUCGGGAGAGGUGAGUGGAAUUCCGAGUGUAGAGGUGAAAUUCGUAGAUAUUCGGAGGAACACCAGAAGCGAAGGCGGCUCACUGGCCCGAGACUGACGCUGAGGCGCGAAAGCGUGGGGAGCAAACAGGAUUAGAUACCCUGGUAGUCCACGCCGUAAACGAUGUCGACUGGUUGUUGGGGGUUUGACACUCUCAGUAACGAAGCUAACGCGUGAAGUCGACCGCCUGGGGAGUACGGCCGCAAGGUUA
Molecule: ribosomal RNA, 370 nt
Filed under: uncultured bacterium
Lineage: Bacteria
Description: bacterial SSU rRNA
Rfam family: Bacterial small subunit ribosomal RNA
Source: RNAcentral